CGGUGUAUCAUAUUUACUACUGAAGGAGACAGGCCAACAAAGUAACAUCAGCAAACUGUUUUCUCUUAUUUAGCCAUUUCACCAGGUUUCAUGUGUGUUUGACUGUCAUAAGGCCAAAUCACACCACCCAGACAAAUGCCAUCAAACACCAACAGACAAGUUGGCAGUUGGGUAUAGAAUUUUAUGAAAAAUAACUGUUGUGUUCACAUUGCCCCGACCGACAACAUGAUUGACAUCGAGACCGGCGGCUUUAAUAGCCUAUAUCUACUGUAUUGCAUUGCAAGGAUCUAAAAUGUUACGCAUCACAUAUUUUUCCCCAACAGUUAAUCCAACAUCCACUUAAGACACAGGUUAACAUAUUAUGUCGAUGUGAAAUCUUGUUGAAACAGGUGUUUUUAAAUACUGUAAUUUUGUGUAUACACAGAAAAAAAGGUGCUUUUUUCCCACUGCUAUACAAAGAACCUGUUAAACCCCUAUAUGUUUUUUUUAAGGAUCUCUAACUCUCUCUUAAUCUCUUUAGUUGUGGAAAGGAUUAAAAACAACAUUAACAUAUAGUGUAUUUCCUGAAUAUCGUUUUACCCUCAUAAGGAAAUAUUCCCCACACAAGACUUUUUGACCUCAGAAGAGCAUAAAAGUGAUUUAAGACAUUUUGCCAUUGCAGUAAAUAGCAAACAUAUGGAGUAAGAUCUAAAAUAUAAGGAGGAGAAUAGGGUGGUGGUGGGAAGCAACAAGACAGUUUGGAUACUGAGAGCUAUCAGUUGCAUCUUAAAUUGUGUGGAAGGAGGAUGAGAGGAAGCUAAAACAUGGUGAUCGGCUGUUGUCAAAUAAAUGUAAACUGAUAAAAGACUUGUGCAAAGUCAGUUGUACCGAAAUUAUAUCACAAACUUCAAUAAAAAGGCAAUACAUUAACUCAUAUAUUAACUUUGCUUUGUUUUAUUAAUGUAAUCAAAUAUUUGACUAUAUAUUAAUGUUUUAUGAUUUAGUUGGAAGUUUAUUCCACUUUAUCACAUUGUAUUAAAUUACAUUUUACUUAUACAGCGCCAGUUUAUAACAAAGUUACACAAUAAACCCACGUAUCUGACAAAGACCAAUUCCCACCAUGAACAAAGCCUAAUAGCCUUAAAACGUGAGCUGGUCAGCUGGACCUGCCUGGAACUUACUUUAGACCAGAGCAUUUGGACCCUACGCGCCUAUCAGUGUGCAGCAGGUGCACGCUAUCAAUGCGCGAGCGUCCAGUCUCCUCUCCCUGAGGAGAAAACUUCGUCGUCGUUGGACCCGUCAACAAAACCAGGACUGAACUAGAUUCAGAGGGAGAAAGAGCCAAAUAUCUUUCGAGGUUGAUGCCGGAGAAGAUGCAAGUAGCAUCAGGGAACAUCUGCGAGCAUAUAGGCGUAGCCAGAACUUUUUUUAGAGGUGGCCAGGUUCACAGAAUCUGUGAUUGGAUCGUGUUCCCGUCAAUCAUCAAUCCACCCUCGCCAAUCAGAUGUGGGAGGCCUUGAUAAAAGCCGGAGGUGACGCGCUUCGAGAGGAAAAGGGAGGAGGAGAGGGAGCUUUGUUUUCCGUUCUCAUUGUUUGUUUAUAUGUUAGGUUGGCUUUGCUCUUGCUUUCGUUAAUUUUUGUAGAUUGAGUUAUUGUGUGUUUAAAUAUAACAUGCUUCUCGGUUGGUCCGAGUUUUGAUUCACUUGUUCGAACAUAUAGAGAUGGGACCAGUUCAGCAUGUCACGUGACUUACACCAGACUACACGCAGGGUAAAAACUGUUUAAACACACUAGUUUACGAGCGGGUGCCAACUUUUGUAUUUAUGUUUUGGAUAGCUAGAGUAGGUAGUGGCGUUCUACGCCGAAAAUGUUUUUUUUUUAUUUCUUAUAUUUAUAAUUGAGUGGGUGUUAGUUAUUGUGUUUUGUUUUGUUUUGUUUUGUUUUGUUUUAUUUCUUUCUUUCCUUAAGCACCGCUCUUGGUUCUCACUUGUGUUUGGGUUGUUGGAUGUUAUUAUAUCUGUCGCAUUAACUUAUUUGCUCCACUAAAAGCAAGGUUAAAAUUUAUGCUUGUCUCUGCUUGAUUUAUUGAAUGACAUUCACCACACUUGAAAUAUUGAUAAAAGUAUCCAUUUUAAGUACAUUCAUCAGUCGAAUGUAUUUUUUUUUUUUUUUCUUAUUUGUUA
This is a long non-coding RNA of Triplophysa rosa, 2162 nucleotides long. RefSeq lists it as uncharacterized. NCBI's taxonomy places the organism in Eukaryota, Metazoa, Chordata, Actinopteri, Cypriniformes, Nemacheilidae. The transcript is spliced from 3 exons. The record is from RefSeq and is a predicted model, not a curated record.